GUGGAUUAGAUACCCUGGUAGUCCACGCCGUAAACGAUGAUCACUCGCUGUUUGCGAUAUACAGUAAGCGGCUGAGCGAAAGCAAUAAGUGAUCCACCUGGGGAGUACGAUCGCAAGGUUGAAACUCAAAGGAAUUGACGGGGGCCCGCACAAGCGGAGGAACAUGUGGUUUAAUUCGAUGAUACGCGAGGAACCUUACCUGGGCUUAAAUGGGGAGUGACAGCUGCUGAAAGGUGGCCUUCUUCGGACACUCUCCAAGGUGCUGCACGGCUGUCGCCAGCU
This 282-nucleotide ribosomal RNA is filed under the name uncultured bacterium. RNAcentral describes it as "partial 16S ribosomal RNA". It matches the Rfam family "Bacterial small subunit ribosomal RNA", at positions 773 to 1060 of the family's 1533-position model. The record is from RNAcentral.